GGGGGCAAUGCGCGGCUUACACAUGCAGUCGAACGGAAAGGCCCUGCUUUUGUGGGGUGCUCGAGUGGCGAACGGGUCAUUAACACGUGAGUAACCUGCCCUUGACUUUGGGAUAACUUCACGAAACUGGGGCUAAUACCGGAUAGGAGCUCCUGCUGCAUGGUGGGGGUUGGAAAGUUUCGGCGGUUGGGGAUGGACUCGCGGCUUAUCAGCUUGUUGGUGGGGUAGUGGCUUACCAAGGCUUUGACGGGUAGCCGGCCUGAGAGGGUGACCGGCCACAUUGGGACUGAGAUACGGCCCAGACUCCUACGGGAGGCAGCAGUGGGGAAUAUUGCACAAUGGGCGGAAGCCUGAUGCAGCAACGCCGCGUGCGGGAUGACGGCCUUCGGGUUGUAAACCGCUUUCGCCUGUGACGAAGCGUGAGUGACGGUAAUGGGUAAAGAAGCACCGGCUAACUACGUGCCAGCAGCCGCGGUGAUACGUAGGGUGCGAGCGUUGUCCGGAUUUAUUGGGCGUAAAGGGCUCGUAGGUGGUUGAUCGCGUCGGAAGUGUAAUCUUGGGGCUUAACCCUGAGCGUGCUUUCGAUACGGGUUGACUUGAGGAAGGUAGGGGAGAAUGGAAUUCCUGGUGGAGCGGUGGAAUGCGCAGAUAUCAGGAGGAACACCAGUGGCGAAGGCGGUUCUCUGGGCCUUUCCUGACGCUGAGGAGCGAAAGCGUGGGGAGCGAACAGGCUUAGAUACCCUGGUAGUCCACGCUGUAAACGGUGGGUACUAGGUGUGGGGUCCAUUCCACGGGUUCCGUGCCCGAACCUACGCUUUAAGUACCCCGCCUGGGGAGUACGGCCGCAAGGGUAAAACUCAAA
Molecule: ribosomal RNA, 862 nt
Filed under: uncultured bacterium
Lineage: Bacteria
Description: bacterial SSU rRNA
Rfam family: Bacterial small subunit ribosomal RNA
Source: RNAcentral